GUGGGGAAUAUUGGGCAAUGGGCGCAAGCCUGACCCAGCAACGCCGCGUGAGGGAAGAAGGCCUUCGGGUUGUAAACCUCUGUCCUUAGGGACGAAAAAAAUGACGGUACCUAAGGAGGAAGCUCCGGCUAACUACGUGCCAGCAGCCGCGGUAAUACGUAGGGAGCAAGCGUUGUCCGGAAUUACUGGGCGUAAAGGGUGCGUAGGCGGCUUGGCAAGUCAGAUGUGAAAUCCCCGGGCUUAACUCGGGGGGUGCAUUUGAAACUGCUGAGCUUGAGUGCAGGAGAGGAAAGCGGAAUUCCUAGUGUAGCGGUGAAAUGCGUAGAUAUUAGGAGGAACACCAGUGGCGAAGGCGGCUUUCUGGACUGUAACUGACGCUGAGGCACGAAAGCGUGGGGAGCAAACAGGAUUAGAUACCCGUGUAGUCC
RNAcentral lists this ribosomal RNA (428 nucleotides) under uncultured bacterium. RNAcentral describes it as "partial 16S ribosomal RNA". It matches the Rfam family "Bacterial small subunit ribosomal RNA", at positions 354 to 796 of the family's 1533-position model. The record is from RNAcentral.